CAUUGGAUGAAGGUUACUGUAUUUGGGAAGCGUUACUAACAGGAUGGCGACUGGCGAAAGAGCAGUGCUGAUCUGGUUGUGCCUUUCCUUUCUUCUGUACGGUUCAGUACAGGGAGCCAAUAGAGACGUUCAGCAGCCUUGCCUGACAAACAUAAAAUGCCCAACCCGGACCUCUGUGGAAGGCGAUGUGAUAGAGUACGU
This is a long non-coding RNA of Strongylocentrotus purpuratus (purple sea urchin), 201 nucleotides long. RefSeq lists it as uncharacterized. The transcript has 3 exons. NCBI's taxonomy places the organism in Eukaryota, Metazoa, Echinodermata, Echinoidea, Camarodonta, Strongylocentrotidae. The record is from RefSeq and is a predicted model, not a curated record.